Molecule: ribosomal RNA, 450 nt
Filed under: uncultured bacterium
Lineage: Bacteria
Description: partial 16S ribosomal RNA
Rfam family: Bacterial small subunit ribosomal RNA
Source: RNAcentral
GUGGGGAAUUUUGGACAAUGGGCGAAAGCCUGAUCCAGCAAUGCCGCGUGUGUGAAGAAGGCCUUCGGGUUGUAAAGCACUUUUGGCAGGGAAGAAACAGUGCAUGCUAAUACCAUGCGCGAAUGACGGUACCUGCAGAAUAAGCACCGGCUAACUACGUGCCAGCAGCCGCGGUAAUACGUAGGGUGCAAGCGUUAAUCGGAAUUACUGGGCGUAAAGCGUGCGCAGGCGGCUUUGUAAGACGGAUGUGAAAGCCCCGGGCUCAACCUGGGAAGUGCAUUCGUGACUGCAAGGCUAGAGUGUGUCAGAGGGAGGUGGAAUUCCGCGUGUAGCAGUGAAAUGCGUAGAGAUGCGGAGGAACACCGAUGGCGAAGGCAGCCUCCUGGGAUAACACUGACGCUCAGGCACGAAAGCGUGGGGAGCAAACAGGAUUAGAAACCCUGGUAGUCC